Molecule: long non-coding RNA, 825 nt
Organism: Polistes canadensis
Lineage: Eukaryota; Metazoa; Arthropoda; Insecta; Hymenoptera; Vespidae
Exons: 3
Source: RefSeq, a predicted model, not a curated record
UUGGCCAACCAGUGCCCACGUGACAUUGCUCGGUACAAUACAUCGAAGGUGUCUUGUAAACAUCGUUCCGCGACAAUUUGAAAACAGUCGGAAAUUUUGCGACAGCGUGAUAAGAUGUCAAAUUUGUUAGUACAUAAUCGUAAUGCGUUUUGUAAGUGCUAGUAUAUCCUUUAUACGGUAUUACGCAUAAUCUUUUCGGAUAAAUCAAAGGAGGAUUUGGAGUACAACGUGGAAAAGGCAAGGGACCUUUCAAUUGGAGCAUGGCACCGGUCACGGCCAUACCACCUGGCACCUGGAAGGACAUUCUGCCAAAGACAUUUUGUAUAUCACCAGUGUCUGGAUGAUAGGCCGACUCGUAAAGCUUCUUGGCAUAGAUGAUUUCUUCUUUCGUGGUACCAGCUGGCUCAUUUCCAAGUCUGCAAAACAAUAUUGUUCAAUGAUGAUGAUGAUGAUUCCUUCGAAAAUAUUCGAAUUAUUCAAGUAAAAAAAGAAAAGGGUACCGAAAACGCUCAAUAUGAACGCGCAUUUCUCGGAGUUGCGCAACGUUAUUGGCACUAUCGUAGUAGAGGAUUCGUUCGCAUAACGCAUUUACUCAAAUGUUACAUAUGCAUCGAAUUGCAAAAUUAUGACGUCCGUGAAAACAAAAAAAUAGAGAGAGAAAGAGAUAAGGAAAUCUUGUAAAUAUUAACGACGCAUAUAAAGCUUAAGAUUUGUAAUUAUUAUCGUAAUAAUUUAUUUCAUUCGCUAUAAUCAACUUUUUUUAUAAAUACAAUAAAAAAAUAAUUUGAAUGUAUGUAUAACAGCUAUGAUAAAAUUAUAUUAUAA